Molecule: ribosomal RNA, 411 nt
Filed under: Penicillium coprobium
Lineage: Eukaryota; Fungi; Ascomycota; Eurotiomycetes; Eurotiales; Aspergillaceae
Description: eukaryotic LSU rRNA
Rfam family: Eukaryotic large subunit ribosomal RNA
Source: RNAcentral
AACGGCGAGUGAAGCGGCAAGAGCUCAAAUUUGAAAGCUGGCUCCUUCGGGGUCCGCAUUGUAAUUUGUAGAGGAUGCUUCGGGAGCGGUCCCCAUCUAAGUGCCCUGGAACGGGACGUCAUAGAGGGUGAGAAUCCCGUAUGGGAUGGGGUGUCCGCGCCCGUGUGAAGCUCCUUCGACGAGUCGAGUUGUUUGGGAAUGCAGCUCUAAAUGGGUGGUAAAUUUCAUCUAAAGCUAAAUAUUGGCCGGAGACCGAUAGCGCACAAGUAGAGUGAUCGAAAGAUGAAAAGCACUUUGAAAAGAGAGUUAAAAAGCACGUGAAAUUGUUGAAAGGGAAGCGCUUGCGACCAGACUCGCUCGCGGGGUUCAGCCGGCAUUCGUGCCGGUGUAUUUCCCCGCGGGCGGGCCAGC